RNAcentral lists this transfer RNA (68 nucleotides) under Goggia lineata. RNAcentral's name for it is "tRNA-Tyr". Lineage: Eukaryota; Metazoa; Chordata; Lepidosauria; Squamata; Gekkonidae. The record is from RNAcentral.
CCUGAUAGUAAGUACUAUAGCACUGUGUGCGAGGCUACAACUCGCCGCUUACUCUCAGCCAUACUACC